AAUUGCUCAAUAACUCCUGUAUGAAGAAUUGUUGCGAGAGGAAAGUGUUGAGCGAAGUUGGAAGCGUCUUUAACUGCGUAAAACCUUCAUAACAUGGAAUUUGUAAGGACUUUUGAAACCAUCUGCGAGGAUAUAACUAUAGUGGAACUCCACUGAUUCCUCCAAAGGACAUAUACAGGGAAGUGAUACUACCACUAAGAAUUGAAUAAUUAAACGACUACCAACUCGCUAGAGUUGCCAUAACCAACACUACAUCACGGAUGGAAGAUUAACUACAAAAUAUAUGUUAUCGGAAAAUAAAACAUUAUUACAAUCA
This is a long non-coding RNA of Manduca sexta (tobacco hornworm), 316 nucleotides long. RefSeq lists it as uncharacterized. The transcript is spliced from 2 exons. The record is from RefSeq and is a predicted model, not a curated record. Lineage: Eukaryota; Metazoa; Arthropoda; Insecta; Lepidoptera; Sphingidae.